CAUAACGUCUCACACAUAAAAUGAAUAAAUUAUUGAAUAUAUAACUGAUACGCAUACGAAUCAAGCGAGAAAGCACGACAAAGUGAGAAAAAAACCAAAAUGGCUACAAUUGUCAAGAAGGAAUUUUGCUGAUCCCCUCUUUUCAUCCGAGAAAUAUCCAGACACAUACAGCUUAGAAACAUCCAUCUACUGCUCCAGAAGUAAAGCCGGCGAGAGUGGAUGACGGCGAGUCUUAUCGGUUCAUUUGUUCAUAUUUGGGAAACCGCGAUUGCCGGAGUUCCCAUUGGGCAUGAUCAAUACACGCUGAUAAUAAUACCAUCGCGACAGCAGUUUUCCUUUGCGACGGAUUAUCCACAGGAGCACCAGAAUCCAACACAGCCACAGACCAGCUAGUAACAGCAUCAUUGUCUGUUUAUACGAAGAUAAUUUACAACGACGAUGCUCCUGCAGCUACAAAGUGUUCAUUUUAAAACACGGAAAGGAAUGUCUAGCAGGGCACGAAACGCACAUAGAGCACGACCGCUCCAAUAUUAACAUCCUGAUAUGUGCGUCAUCCCAAUAGUUGCUCCGCCUAGGAAAAUUUUAAAAGUUCCCAGAAGAAGACUCAGCAGCUCGCUCAGCAGGUGCUGGCAAUGAAAAGCAAAGUGCCGGUGGACUAAUGACGCUGCUGCGGGAACUGGGUGAACGAAGUGUCUGGUCACAGACCUAUACGACUGUGUGAAAACGAUCGAGCAUCUCAGUAACGUUCAAUCGCACCGUAGUUGGAUGCAGAUUAUGAACACGUUGGUGCAUCACAAAAUCCAAGAUCACCUGCAGAAGGACGUGCUUUUAUCGUGCUCAAAACCACACCGAUGGCAGGGUGCGAUGACGGAAAUUACUCUUCUGCCCACAACGAGAAUGAAAUAACGGUCAAGUUCUUUUUUCGUGCAAUGAAGGCAUAGGACUCACCUUCUGCAAUCAGGUGCUGUGCAAACUGGCAGAAACAGCGCUGUCAUAAGGCGUUACCUUAAGCUCGACCCGAAGAACUGCAACAUCCUAAUUCACGAUGCAGCUCUUCCUGAGGAAAUCGAUACAAACACUGAUGUGCAAGUUCCAUUGCUACCAAAGCCAACAUAAAUUAGCCUACCGAGGUCGAUACGAAAAUUAAACCUCCGGCGAUAAUACCAUUUUGUACCGAUAGAAAAAUUAUCACUGCAAGCCUGUCAUCAGCGAGGUCAUCAGCAGAGUCAUCAACUGCAAUGAGGAUGUGUUAUAAUGUGUCGAAUUUAUAGUGCUGUCCAAUGAGAGCUUGUAGUAGCUCGAUGUUUCUUCCUGUCCUGCUCAUGCCCAUUUGUUGACAAAAAAGAACGAGCAGGACGGGAACCACUUCUAGCUACUUCGAGCUACUCAUUGGACAGCACUGAUAUCUAUCAUUAUUGAUUUAUUGGCAUUUAUCGCCGGACAGAUGCUGCUAUAACGACAAAUGUUUAAUGUUGGACGUUUUGCGACUGAUUUUCUUCAACUCCGCCAAUUAUGUUUAUGCCUAGUGCUUGAAAAUGAUGUGGUCAGCUCCAAACAUUUGUGAAUUUCAAUUAUUACCGGUAAACCCAAAUUCAUAGUUUGUACUAUAUACAGAUUUACAAAGUUUAUAACAAUAAAUUCAAACAAUAUUUA
Armigeres subalbatus is the source of this 1653-nucleotide long non-coding RNA. RefSeq lists it as uncharacterized. The transcript has 4 exons. Lineage: Eukaryota; Metazoa; Arthropoda; Insecta; Diptera; Culicidae. The record is from RefSeq and is a predicted model, not a curated record.